UAUUUAUUAGUUUAAUUUAAAACAUUAUAUUUUCAAUAUAAAAAUAAUAUUAUUUAUAAAUAU
Molecule: transfer RNA, 63 nt
Filed under: Uroleucon erigeronensis
Lineage: Eukaryota; Metazoa; Arthropoda; Insecta; Hemiptera; Aphididae
Also listed under: 1 other name
Description: tRNA-Glu
Source: RNAcentral